AUUGAACGCUGGCGGCAGGCCUAACACAUGCAAGUCGAACGGUAACAGGAAGAAGCUUGCUUCUUUGCUGACGAGUGGCGGACGGGUGAGUAAUGUCUGGGAAACUGCCUGAUGGAGGGGGAUAACUACUGGAAACGGUAGCUAAUACCGCAUAACGUCGCAAGACCAAAAAGGGGGACCUUCGGGCCUCUUGCCAUCGGAUGUGCCCAGAUGGGAUUAGCUAGUAGGUGGGGUAACGGCUCACCUAGGCGACGAUCCCUAGCUGGUCUGAGAGGAUGACCAGCCACACUGGAACUGAGACACGGUGCAGACUCCUACGGGAGGCAGCAGUAGGGAAUAUUGCACAAUGGGCGCAAGCCUGAUGCAGCCAUGCCGCGUGUAUGAAGAAGGCCUUCGGGUUGUAAAGUACUUGCAGCGGGGAGGAAGGGAGUAAAGUUAAUAACUUUGCUCAUUGACGUUACCCGCAGAAGAAGCACCGGCUAACUCCGUG
Molecule: ribosomal RNA, 490 nt
Filed under: uncultured bacterium
Lineage: Bacteria
Description: partial 16S ribosomal RNA
Rfam family: Bacterial small subunit ribosomal RNA
Source: RNAcentral